Molecule: transfer RNA, 71 nt
Filed under: Parcubacteria group bacterium CG23_combo_of_CG06-09_8_20_14_all_35_6
Lineage: Bacteria
Description: tRNA-Pro
Rfam family: tRNA
About the family: Transfer RNA (tRNA) molecules are approximately 80 nucleotides in length. Their secondary structure includes four short double-helical elements and three loops (D, anti-codon, and T loops). Further hydrogen bonds mediate the characteristic L-shaped molecular structure. tRNAs have two regions of fundamental functional importance: the anti-codon, which is responsible for specific mRNA codon recognition, and the 3' end, to which the tRNAs corresponding amino acid is attached (by aminoacyl-tRNA synthetases). tRNAs cope with the degeneracy of the genetic code in two manners: having more than one tRNA (with a specific anti-codon) for a particular amino acid; and 'wobble' base-pairing, i.e. permitting non-standard base-pairing at the 3rd anti-codon position.
Source: RNAcentral
CGGGGAGGAGUCUGUCGGUAGGACGCACGCUUCGGGUGCGUGAAGAUCGGGUUCAAUUCCCGGCUCCCCGA